This 690-nucleotide long non-coding RNA is filed under the name Homo sapiens (human). RNAcentral describes it as "HSALNT0210038". Lineage: Eukaryota; Metazoa; Chordata; Mammalia; Primates; Hominidae. The record is from RNAcentral.
AGGAAGGGAAGUACAGUGUUCCAGAAUUCUUUUAGGUCAUCUGGCGAGCACCCCGGUAUUUCUCCCGCACAUUAAUUUCCUUGGAGUCCACUUCACACGAGCCCAACUGGCAGACAUUCUCUCUUUUUUUCUCUUUAUAGAACUAUAAAACUGUGUUAUUUGAGUUAUACAUUACCAUAAUGGAUGCGGUAAUAGUGCUUUGUCAGCUGUAUCUCCCUGUUGGCUGUCUCUGCUUUUGCCUUGAGGAGCUAUUAUUGUACUGUAGCAAAUGUUAAGAAAAAGAGUAGACUUCUAUCUUAUUUAUUAACAAUGGUGAGUAAUUAUAUCUUAAAACAUUUGUCCACUCCAUUUACCCUCCAUAACAUAGUUUCUUGCCAAGAAGACAUUAUUUAAGAGAAAUUGAAAGAACAUAUGCAUUGUGCACUGCCCCAGUAUCACCAUCACCUCCACCUCUACUUCCUGGGUAAUCCUGUGUGCUGAAUUACUCACUUUCUAACCCAGCUCUUCAUUUUUCAGCAAAGAAGAAUUGUGUUUAUAAGAUGUGUGAAAAGAGAAGAAAGAUGUUUGUCAGUAGGUUGGUUUACUCUGUGAAAGUAAGUGUCCUUAGGACGCAUCACUUCUGUUGUAAGAGUCUUAAUGGGAAUAAGCUUUAAGUGGAACCAAACAACUUCAAAUGCCCUGUUAUUUAUC